CCCGCCCUUGAAUACUAUACCUUAGUUGCUUUGGCAGGCCGUGGAAACACCACAGGCCCCGGCUGGUGUGUGCCUGCCAGAGGAAGCCUAAACUCUGUUUUUAGUGAUGUCUGAGUACUAUAUAAUAGUUAAAACUUUCAAUAACGGAUCUCUUGGUUCUGGCAUCGAUGAAGAACGCAGCGAAAUGCGAUAAGUAAUGUGAAUUGCAGAAUUCAGUGAAUCAUCGAAUCUUUGAACGCACAUUGCGCCCCGUGGUAUUCCGCGGGGCAUGCCUGUUCGAGCGUCAUGUAAACCCAUCAAGCCCCGGCUUGGUCUUGGGGUAUGCGGUUCCGCAGCCUCUAAACGCAGUGGCGGUGCGAUCAAGCUCUGAGCGUAGUAAAUUUCCUCGCUAUAGAGUCUUGGUCGUGGCUUGCCAACAACCCCCAACUUCUUUAGAUUGACCUCGGAUCAGGUAGGGAUACCCGCUGAACUUAAGCAUAUCA
RNAcentral lists this ribosomal RNA (482 nucleotides) under Helotiales sp. 4 MV-2011. RNAcentral describes it as "eukaryotic LSU rRNA". The stretch from base 133 to 286 matches the Rfam family "5.8S ribosomal RNA". The record is from RNAcentral. Lineage: Eukaryota; Fungi; Ascomycota; Leotiomycetes; Helotiales.